This 227-nucleotide ribosomal RNA is filed under the name uncultured bacterium. RNAcentral's name for it is "partial 16S ribosomal RNA". It matches the Rfam family "Bacterial small subunit ribosomal RNA", at positions 123 to 334 of the family's 1533-position model. The record is from RNAcentral.
CCCUAGCCCUUCAGAGGGGGACAACAGUUGGAAACGACUGCUAAUACCGCAUACGAUCCAAUCUCGGCAUCGAGACUGGAUGAAAGGUGGCCUCUAUUUAUAAGCUAUCACUGAAGGAGGGGAUUGCGUCUGAUUAGCUAGUUGGAGGGGUAACGGCCCACCAAGGCGAUGAUCAGUAGCCGGUCUGAGAGGAUGAACGGCCACAUUGGGACUGAGACACGGACCAA